This 242-nucleotide ribosomal RNA is filed under the name uncultured bacterium. RNAcentral describes it as "partial 16S ribosomal RNA". It matches the Rfam family "Bacterial small subunit ribosomal RNA", at positions 1258 to 1500 of the family's 1533-position model. The record is from RNAcentral.
CGAGGUGGAGCAAAUCCCUAAAAGCCAUCCCAGUUCGGAUUGCAGGCUGAAACCCGCCUGUAUGAAGUUGGAAUCGCUAGUAAUCGCGGAUCAGCAUGCCGCGGUGAAUACGUUCCCGGGCCUUGUACACACCGCCCGUCACACCAUGAGAGUCGGGAACACCCGAAGUCCGUAGCCUAACCGCAAGGGGGGCGCGGCUGAAGGUGGGUUCGAUAAUUGGGGUGAAGUCGUAACAAGGUAAC